UUUGUCGUACGCGUACAUCCGCUCCCGUUCCACUCAGGGUGCGUCGACAUACUGAUUCCCGAAAUCAGCUACUCGGUGGGGAAUAAGGGUAUUUCGUAAGAGUAUAUCGGAAGGCAAAGUGGCCCCGCGGUGCAGUUUUAUUCGUGUGUCUAAGCGUCGUAAGCGACAGGUCACCAGGCCUAAGCAUCGGGCUACAUCAAGGUCGAGAUCAGGAAUCUGGAAGGAUUUGUGAGGGGCCGGCCAUCUCAUUGACGGCGGAGGCAACAAUUAAGAUCAGGUGGUGAUUCAACAUUUCAACGGCACCAGGAACGGUACGCUCAUCGUCACCUACGUCGGUCUCCUGCAAAGUCUAGGAUAAGAGAGACUCGAGCGAUGGUCGUCUGUCCGCAAAAAACUCACACGCCAAUCAUCGGUGUGCGCAUCAAGAACAAGGAAGCAAGUCGUAUGCAUGGGACAAGACUGUCCGGAAGCAAGCAUCAGAUCAGAGCAACAUUUUGCUUGUUUUUCUUUAUGUUCCUGUAGCUAUAUCUCAUGUCUAUAACUGCACUUUUUCCUUAAUUCUACAUACUUCUUCCUAUUAAAUACUUGGAAGAAAAGGUAGAGCAAAUGUUUUUGCCAGAG
Molecule: long non-coding RNA, 621 nt
Filed under: Hordeum vulgare
Lineage: Eukaryota; Viridiplantae; Streptophyta; Magnoliopsida; Poales; Poaceae
Description: long non-coding RNA (HVUL_LNC016114)
Source: RNAcentral